CCUACGGGAGGCAGCAGUAGGGAAUCUUCCGCAAUGGACGAAAGUCUGACGGAGCAACGCCGCGUGAACGAUGAAGGCCUUCGGGUCGUAAAGUUCUGUUGUUAGGGAAGAACAAGUGCUAGUUGAAUAAGCUGGCACCUUGACGGUACCUAACCAGAAAGCCACGGCUAACUACGUGCCAGCAGCCGCGGUAAUACGUAGGUGGCAAGCGUUGUCCGGAAUUAUUGGGCGUAAAGCGCGCGCAGGCGGUUCCUUAAGUCUGAUGUGAAAGCCCCCGGCUCAACCGGGGAGGGUCAUUGGAAACUGGGAAACUUGAGUGCAGAAGAGGAAAGUGGAAUUCCAAGUGUAGCGGUGAAAUGCGUAGAGAUUUGGAGGAACACCAGUGGCGAAGGCGACUUUCUGGUCUGUAACUGACGCUGAGGCGCGAAAGCGUGGGGAGCAAACAGGAUUAGAUACCCUGGUAGUCCACGCUGUAAACGAUGAGUGCUAAGUGUUAGAGGGUUUCCGCCCUUUAGUGCUGAAGUUAACGCAUUAAGCACUCCGCCUGGGGGAGGUGCGGUCGCGAAGACUAGAACUACAAAGAAGUAGUAGGACGNGNGAGAGCGACGACGACGACGACGGAGGGAGGAGG
RNAcentral lists this ribosomal RNA (631 nucleotides) under uncultured bacterium. RNAcentral describes it as "bacterial SSU rRNA". The stretch from base 1 to 545 matches the Rfam family "Bacterial small subunit ribosomal RNA", at positions 338 to 873 of the family's 1533-position model. The record is from RNAcentral.